This 255-nucleotide ribosomal RNA is filed under the name uncultured bacterium. Its description in RNAcentral is "partial 16S ribosomal RNA". It matches the Rfam family "Bacterial small subunit ribosomal RNA", at positions 524 to 776 of the family's 1533-position model. The record is from RNAcentral.
UACGGGGGGAGCAAGCGUUGUUCGGAUUUACUGGGCGUAAAGGGCGCGUAGGCGGCCAGCACAAGUCAGUUGUGAAAUCUCCGAGCUUAACUCGGAAAGGUCAACUGAUACUGUGCGGCUAGAGUGCGGAAGGGGCAACUGGAAUUCUUGGUGUAGCGGUGAAAUGCGUAGAUAUCAAGAGGAACACCUGCGGCGAAGGCGGGUUGCUGGGCCGACACUGACGCUGAGGCGCGAAAGCUAGGGGGAGCGAACGGG